UACGUAGGGUGCAAGCGUUGUCCGGAAUUAUUGGGCGUAAAGAGCUCGUAGGCGGUUCGUCACGUCGGCUGUGAAAACCUGAGGCUCAACCUCAGGCCUGCAGUCGAUACGGGCGGACUUGAGUACUGCAGGGGAGACUGGAAUUCCUGGUGUAGCGGUGAAAUGAGCAGAUAUCAGGAGGAACACCGGUGGCGAAGGCGGGUCUCUGGGCAGUAACUGACGCUGAGGAGCGAAAGCGUGGGGAGCGAACAGG
Molecule: ribosomal RNA, 253 nt
Filed under: uncultured bacterium
Lineage: Bacteria
Description: partial 16S ribosomal RNA
Rfam family: Bacterial small subunit ribosomal RNA
Source: RNAcentral